Molecule: ribosomal RNA, 495 nt
Filed under: Triticum aestivum (bread wheat)
Lineage: Eukaryota; Viridiplantae; Streptophyta; Magnoliopsida; Poales; Poaceae
Description: partial small subunit ribosomal RNA
Source: RNAcentral
UUAGGAGAUUUUAAUGAAAUUUUGUUCUCAUCAGAGAAAGAGGGAGGGAAUGCGAGACCAAAUGCGAUGAUGCAAGAUUUUUGUAAUUGUUUGGGAGAUUGUGGACUAGCAGAUAUGGGAUGUAUGGGUGACUUACUUACAUGGAGGAGGGGCAAAAUCAGGGAAAGACUAGAUCGAGCGGUCUGUAAUGUGGAUUGGGCAAAUAAAUUCCCUUGAACGGCGAUUAUAAAUGAAGAGCAUGUACACUCAGACCACAUCCCUAUUAUUUUAGACAUGGAGUAUUUUGACGAUAAUAUUUUUGACCGCUCAAAAACUCGAAGGAAACAAUUUGAAGCUCGAUGGCUGAAAGAAGAGACGGCUAUGGAAGUUGUACAUACAGCUUGGGAAAAAACGAAGAUGUUGGGCAUAGGGCCAUCUCUCGCUGAUCGUACACGAGCGGUACACGCAAAUUUGCAUACUUGGGAUCGUGAUACCCUCAAGGGUCUGAAAAACUAA